AGCAUCAUGUCACUAUUGCCUGCAUAGGCACAUAGGACCAGAGACGGGAAGGUAGACCAUCUCAAUGUACAAGUUCAUGGAGUCUGAAGUGGCUAGGAUAGUAAACUUCAGAAAAGAUGUUUCCAAGCAACUUGUGGAGAUCUUGGAAAUGAAAACAUAGACGUCGUCAUCAUGAAUAGUCCUCCUGAUCCUGAUUGUCACCGAAAAUAAUUCCCAAGACAGCUGAAGAGGCCUUCGGGUUCAGGCUCCGCCCAUCCAUCCAUCUGCCCCACCCUUCAUUCUUGCUUCGUUCCAAAGAAGAGAAGGAAGAAGAGAGAAGGGAUUGAGCAGAGGCCUGGGCACGCAUGGGUCCCCUCUGGCAGUGGGCAGAGUCACAGGGCGGAAGCAAGUUGUCUUUCUUCCUGCCCAGCUUCAAAUGCAGCCGGAGAGAGGAGCUAGCUGGGAACUUGAACAUCUGCAGAAAGCCUGGAUACUUCCUUCUGUCUUUCUUCUCCCCUGUGGCAGUCAGGGCAGGGCUUCCUCUUUGCCUGUGCCUGAGCUUCUGGAUGGGGUCAGAGGCUGAGGACUGAAGGCUGCCCAGUGGUGGUGGUGACAAAGUCAGCACUUCCCUUUGUUAGCCUUUGGAUGCUGUGACAAAGCCCCAGAGACCUGACUUGGAGGAGCAAGGUCAAGGUUGGCUAGAUCCGUUGCUUUUAGGUAUGGGAUGAUGCUAAACAUCAGGACACCUGGACCAUCUGGUAGAGGAUGCUGCUGCCGUUGUGGUAGCUAGGAAACAGGAAGACAGAAGGAAGACAGGAGGCAAGAGCAUGCUCUCUGUGAUCGUCUUCUCCAAGCAGUCUGCAUCUCUGAGCUCCUAACACCUCCCCCUAGUGCUGUUGAAUGAUGGGUAUAUCCAUGCAACCACUGAUUAGGUCAGGGCCUCCAUGGCUUGCUCAUCUCUCAACAGUGUCACCAGCUAGGGUCUGCUCCUUCAAUACUGGGACCUUUCAGAGAGCAUACAUAGUGACCAUCUUAAUACCACCAAAACUUUGCUCUCAUUCCUUCUUGUCUCCAGAGUGCUUGAACCAAAGAGGCAUCAAGGAGUCAUUUCCUGUUACAUAGAAGGGCAUCAUAUUUCCUCAGGAUUUUUCUUUACCCUCAGCUAGUUUUGUAGGCAAAGAUAAUAGCCCUCUGUUUCAUUGAGUGCUUCGAUUUCUUUUUAUAUCAUAAGUAGGUUGCUGACACACUAUGUGUUGACUAAUCAUAUCUUUUCUUUUGUGAAUUACAUUCAUGGCUUUAGCUCACUUUGGAGUUUUAAGUUAGAUUUUAAUGUCUUCAAUAAAAAAUAUACUCAUCUGCAUUAUUUAAGUCAAGCAUCUGUAGACAGAAGAAUUAAGAGAGCAAAAAAAAUGAGGGAGGCGCCUACUUUCAGAGUCCUUUUCUACUAAAGAAAGAUGUAUUUAGUUUCAAUUAUGUGUAUGCGUGAGUGUGCAUCUGUGUGUGGGGGGAGUGUGCACAUGAGUGCAGGUGCCCAAGGAGAUCAGAAGAGGGCGUCAUAUCUCCUUGACUAGAGUUGCAGGCUUUCCUGAGCUACCCAGUGUGGAUGCUGGGAACCAAACUCCAGUCCUCUUCAAGAACAGGAAGUGCUCUUAACCACUGAGCCAUCUCCGUAAACACCAAAAAAACUUUUACCAUAAUACAUUAGCAACAUGUCAUGUUGACAAAUAUUUCCCCUCUGUGCUGUCAUAUUUAAAAUACAAAUGUCCAAGAUGCUUUCCGCAUUUAUUCAAAACUAACCUUCCAUUUUUAUGGAGCUGAGUCUGAGCUGCUCUGCCAUUUUGACCAGAUCAUUUCAUCUAUGCCUACACAUUUCAGUUUCACACAAAAUGUUAAGAGGUGACUCAUUUUAUUUAUUUCUGGUUUUCCUAGGUGUAAAACUUUUAUACAUGUUACCAUUCAACUCAUUUUUAUUUAGUACAUGUGGGGCAAGCCAAGGAUCAUAGCUGGCAGUUUUAUCAAGCAUUCAAUACUGCCUAAAGUCUUCCCUCCCCCACCACUGCACAGACAUGCCAAUAGGCAGAAUUUUGGUCAGUGGGCCAGUGAGGUAGAACUUGUUGAGAGCUGUGUAUCUUAGGAAAUUUGGUGUGGGAAAUAGUGAGAAUUGGUUUGUAUCUGAAACAAAAGGAAGAGUAAAAAUAUUUUUUUUUGCCUACAAAUUUCAUAAAUUCAAAAUAAAAAAUAUUUUUUUGUCAGCAGGUGAUGAUAGUGCACACCGUUGAUCCCAGUAAUCAGGAGGCAGAGGCACAUGGGGAUCUCUGAGUUCAAGGCCAGCCUGGUCUACAAAUAAAGUUCCAGGACUGAUAGGGCGACACAGAGAAACCCUGUCUUAAACAAAACAAAACAAAACAAAAUAAAAUGUCAUUUGGUUUAUA
This 2411-nucleotide long non-coding RNA is filed under the name Mus musculus (house mouse). Its description in RNAcentral is "pluripotency associated transcript 7". Lineage: Eukaryota; Metazoa; Chordata; Mammalia; Rodentia; Muridae. The record is from RNAcentral.